CGCAGACCGCCAUAUCAGGACGAUCCGCACAACAGAAAUUAACAGUCCUUGCACUCUGCAGCGGGGCCAGCUGGGAGGGACUUAUGAAUACAACGGAUCACAUCCAGAUCAUUAGUUACAGGUUUGAACCUGUAGAACACCGACUGAGACAUCUCUAGUAGUGCGGCAAACCACGGCUGGCACGGCCACCACGGGGGCCAGAAGUAUGCAUCUCGCCUGGUCCCGCAUUAUCCGCGCGACCACACAUCCCAUCAACGGCAGCGGUGGGAAAAGAUAUAACAGUCCCGUCUUCCAGAACCACAAACAAUGCGAAGAGAGACUGAGCAGGAUGGGCAAGCUGAUUCCGGCACAAAGAAUCCCAGCUUACAGCGUGGCAAAAUGUUAAACAGCUAUUUUGAGUAGCAUACUGCUCCUAAGAUGUACUGGCGUUUCAUGCAAAGGAAACUGUAAAAUGUGUUGCCUCUGUUCAGUUUAAGGUACGUGAUCUCAGCUUUAAGAGGACAAUUAUUCCUGUUUCUCAUGUUGCUUCUGAAGACAAAAUUCUCUGACACACAAUAUUUCCUUGGCAACCAAUUAUGAUGAAGAAAGCUAGGUUGGGGGGACUAAGUGACGGGAGUGGACUGACUCAUCCUUCACAUGCUUUGUUUGCAAACAAAUGUCUUAAGUAACAAAGACAGAAGGAAAGAAAUCACUUUCAUAUUGGUAUAUUCUUCCAUACAGUCUUGUUAAUGACAAAA
This is a long non-coding RNA of Hemicordylus capensis (graceful crag lizard), 737 nucleotides long. RefSeq lists it as uncharacterized. The record is from RefSeq and is a predicted model, not a curated record. Lineage: Eukaryota; Metazoa; Chordata; Lepidosauria; Squamata; Cordylidae. The transcript has 3 exons.